Non-coding RNA from Myotis davidii, 107 nucleotides. The record is from Rfam. Lineage: Eukaryota; Metazoa; Chordata; Mammalia; Chiroptera; Vespertilionidae.
GCGCUCACCUCAGUGGCACAUAUAGUAAAAUUGGAAGGAUACAGAGAAGAUUAGCAUGGCCCCUGCACAAGGAUGAUACCCAAACUCAUGAAGCAUUCCAAAUUAAA